Molecule: ribosomal RNA, 253 nt
Filed under: uncultured bacterium
Lineage: Bacteria
Description: partial 16S ribosomal RNA
Rfam family: Bacterial small subunit ribosomal RNA
Source: RNAcentral
UACAGAGGGUGCAAGCGUUGUUCGGAAUUAUUGGGCGUAAAGCGCGUGUAGGCGGCUUUGCAAGUCGGGUGUGAAAGCCCUCAGCUCAACUGAGGAAGUGCGCCCGAAACUGCAGAGCUUGAGUGCCGGAGAGGGUGGCGGAAUUCCCCAAGUAGAGGUGAAAUUCGUAGAUAUGGGGAGGAACACCGGUGGCGAAGGCGGCCACCUGGACAGUAACUGACGCUGAGACGCGAAAGCGUGGGGAGCAAACAGG